RNAcentral lists this ribosomal RNA (597 nucleotides) under Trichoderma erinaceum. RNAcentral describes it as "eukaryotic LSU rRNA". The stretch from base 206 to 359 matches the Rfam family "5.8S ribosomal RNA". The record is from RNAcentral. Lineage: Eukaryota; Fungi; Ascomycota; Sordariomycetes; Hypocreales; Hypocreaceae.
ACCAGCGGAGGGAUCAUUACCGAGUUUACAACUCCCAAACCCAAUGUGAACCAUACCAAACUGUUGCCUCGGCGGGGUCACGCCCCGGGUGCGUCGCAGCCCCGGAACCAGGCGCCCGCCGGAGGGACCAACCAAACUCUUUACUGUAGUCCCCUCGCGGACGUUAUUUCUUACAGCUCUGAGCAAAAAAUUCAAAAUGAAUCAAAACUUUCAACAACGGAUCUCUUGGUUCUGGCAUCGAUGAAGAACGCAGCGAAAUGCGAUAAGUAAUGUGAAUUGCAGAAUUCAGUGAAUCAUCGAAUCUUUGAACGCACAUUGCGCCCGCCAGUAUUCUGGCGGGCAUGCCUGUCCGAGCGUCAUUUCAACCCUCGAACCCCUCCGGGGGGUCGGCGUUGGGGAUCGGGAACCCCUCAGACGGGAUCCCGGCCCCGAAAUACAGUGGCGGUCUCGCCGCAGCCUCUCCUGCGCAGUAGUUUGCACAACUCGCACCGGGAGCGCGGCGCGUCCACGUCCGUAAAACACCCAACUUUCUGAAAUGUUGACCUCGGAUCAGGUAGGAAUACCCGCUGAACUUAAGCAUAUCAAUAAGGCGGAGGA